UAAGCGGAGGAAAAGAAACCAACAGGGAUUGCCUUAGUAGCGGCGAGUGAAGCGGCAAAAGCUCAAAUUUGAAAUCUGGCUCUUUCAGAGUCCGAGUUGUAAUUUGAAGAAGGUAUCUUUGGGUCUGGCUCUUGUCUAUGUUUCUUGGAACAGAACGUCACAGAGGGUGAGAAUCCCGUGCGAUGAGAUGAUCCAGGCCUAUGUAAAGUUCCUUCGAAGAGUCGAGUUGUUUGGGAAUGCAGCUCUAAGUGGGUGGUAAAUUCCAUCUAAAGCUAAAUAUUGGCGAGAGACCGAUAGCGAACAAGUACAGUGAUGGAAAGAUGAAAAGAACUUUGAAAAGAGAGUGAAAAAGUACGUGAAAUUGUUGAAAGGGAAGGGCUUGAGAUCAGACUUGGUAUUUUGUAUGUUACUUCUUCGGGGGUGGCCUCUACAGUUUAUCGGGCCAGCAUCAGUUUGGGCGGUAGGAGAAUUGCGUUGGAAUGUGGCACGGCUUCGGUUGUGUGUUAUAGCCUUCGUCGAUACUGCCAGCCUAGACUGAGGACUGCGGUUUAUACCUAGGA
Molecule: ribosomal RNA, 560 nt
Filed under: Candida tropicalis
Lineage: Eukaryota; Fungi; Ascomycota; Pichiomycetes; Serinales; Debaryomycetaceae
Description: eukaryotic LSU rRNA
Rfam family: Eukaryotic large subunit ribosomal RNA
Source: RNAcentral